GGCAAGAGGUUCGACCCGAGCGAAGCGAGAGAACGUUGCUUCAGCAACGGCCCGCAGGGCGAGCCACGCAGUGGCGAGUCAUCCUCUAUCACCGACCA
Molecule: small RNA, 98 nt
Filed under: Salmonella enterica subsp. enterica serovar Kentucky
Lineage: Bacteria; Pseudomonadati; Pseudomonadota; Gammaproteobacteria; Enterobacterales; Enterobacteriaceae
Description: partial RtT sRNA
Rfam family: RtT RNA
About the family: This family represents a bacterial cis-regulatory element known as RtT RNA.
Source: RNAcentral